UUUGAGAGAUUAAUUCAUUUUUGAAAUCCAAUCUCUACUCUCUCUUUCUUCCCUGCGAAAAGACCUUCUUCUUGGUGAUUUAGGAUCUUUUAUUUUGGAUAUUUUGGAGAGAAAAAUUCUAGGUUUUUGGGUUAGAUUGCUGACCGCUUUCUUCCUGUGUGGAGACUCCAUUUUUGGUGAUUUUCAGAUUUGCGAGAGAGACUUUAUUCUUGUAUUUUACUGCCUGAUUAUUGGGGCUUUAUAGUGCAAUCGAGAUUUAUCCAUUUUAAUGGACACUCAAUAUGGGAAUAAACAUUAGAAGGGGUUUCCAAACCUCUGGGGCUUCGGUUGAAAAAAUAUUGUGUUCAUUUUACAAUUUUCUACACUUUAUUUUACUGUUUGUUUUGUUUGGUUUAAAUCUUGAUUAAUUCUUAGACGCUCCUCGAAUUUUCAGUGGUAUCAGAGCAAUUUUGGACUAUUGGAGCGUCUCUGAUUCCUGUGAAUUGACUGGAUUCUGAAAUUUUCCUUCAAACUGCAGUAAACAUUGGCUGGUGGAAAUUGAGUUUUAUCAAACUCGUUUGAUACUUGGAGCAAAUGACAUUAUAAAUGUUGGUGAAACUCGUAGGUGCACUAUAGCCUUAAAUUUUGGAAGCAAGGUGGAGAUUGUUGAGAAUUCAACCUGCUGACCGUUCUUUACUAUUAAUUGUGCUUCCAAAAUUGAAGAAAACGUGUUUACAAAAUAACAACUUCUUUAGUGGAGACUUUCAUCCAAAUUUCGACACCUGGCAUCAUGAUGUCCAUCAGAUCAGAAUCUAUUGACUUGCAAUAUAUAAAUCUGGUGCGAUUCUGACUGGGGAUGACAGCAUCAAUUUUUUGAGAGAUUAAUUCAUUUUUGAAGUCCGAUCUCUGCUCUCUCUUUCUUCCCUGUGAAAAAGACCACCUUUUUGGUGAUUUAUGGUCUUUUAUUUUGGGGAGAAAUUUUCUAUGUUUUUGGGUCAGAUUGCUGACCGUUUUCUUCCUGUGUAGAGACUCUAUUUUUUGGUGAUUUUCAGAUUUGCGAGAGAGACUUUAUUCUUGUAUUUUACUGCCUGAUUAUUGGGGUUUUAUAGUGCAAUCGAGCUUUAUCCAUUUUAAUGGAUGCUCAACAAGGGAAGGCAUUAGAAGUGGUCCCCGAACCUCUGGGGUUUCGGCCGAAAAAAUCUUGUGCUCAUUUUACAAUUUUCUGCACCUUAUUUUACUAUUUGUUGUGUUUGGUUUAAAUCUUGAUUAAUUCUUGGA
Long non-coding RNA from Olea europaea var. sylvestris, 1257 nucleotides. RefSeq lists it as uncharacterized. The transcript has 2 exons. The record is from RefSeq and is a predicted model, not a curated record. NCBI's taxonomy places the organism in Eukaryota, Viridiplantae, Streptophyta, Magnoliopsida, Lamiales, Oleaceae.